Non-coding RNA from Macaca mulatta (Rhesus monkey), 915 nucleotides. The record is from RefSeq and is a predicted model, not a curated record. NCBI's taxonomy places the organism in Eukaryota, Metazoa, Chordata, Mammalia, Primates, Cercopithecidae.
UGCAAACGUCCCAAACUUCCGGAGGCUGCACCUCAGAGUGCGGGUGGGUUGAAGUUUCUCCUGGCACCGUUUCUCACCUAGCUGCGUCAACAGGAAUUUGAGUCUUGCUCAUCUCAAUUAGCCUGAGUUUGCUGGCCCUGACAGAAGGCCACUGUAAGGACUUCGCCUUUUAAAUUUUGAUACGCCCUUCACUAAAAGGCAAAAUCAAGACUCAUCAAAAUUUAGCAGCUGAGAAUCUCUACUGAAGACAAUCAGAAAUAUUUGGGAAGAUUUAUUUCAACAUCUGAAGCAGCGAAGAAUAUUUGCCUUCAUAGACUCUAGCAAUGAUUUUGAAUGAACCUGCACAUGCCACAUUUUAACCUGUUAAUGAGGAUCAUGUGGGUGAAAUAAGACUUUUCUUGUCUUAUUAAUUCAAAUGCCAAACUAGGCACACUGACAGUUUGCUUAUUAAACUGACUCCAGACUCACUGUGCACAGAGAUCUAUGGACUACACUUUGUUUACUUUACAAGAAUCUUGUUUUUGUUUAAAAAUUUCUUACUGAGAUGUUUAUUUAAACUGAAUUUCCACAGUGAGAAAAAAGAUUGUUAAACAGAAUUCUGCACUUUACAUGAAAAACACCUUGUAAAUAUGGAUUAUCCUUCCAUAUAUUAACUAUGUUAAUAAACUCACAUUGCUAAAUAUGUAAUUAAUACAUGAUCAAAUAUCCUGGAAUGUCCCCUCUUCUAUCUGAUUAUAUGAACCUAAUCAACUUUCUAUGAUUAAUGUAAAUCCAACUUCAUUUCUGAAUUCACACACCCCAUUUCAGCCUGGGCGAAUCUCUCCCUACCCCAAACUCAUAAUCAUUAUGAUCUUAUCUAGGAGUCUUAAUCAAUAAGUCACAAUAUGCUGAUUCAUAAUUAUUACUUUGAAGUGU